CCUACGGGAGGCUGCAGUGAGGAAUAUUGGUCAAUGGACGAGAGUCUGAACCAGCCAAGUAGCGUGAAGGAUGACUGCCCUAUGGGUUGUAAACUUCUUUUAUAUGGGAAUAAAACGUUCCACGUGUGGGAUUUUGUAUGUACCAUAUGAAUAAGGAUCGGCUAACUCCGUGCCAGCAGCCGCGGUAAUACGGAGGAUCCGAGCGUUAUCCGGAUUUAUUGGGUUUAAAGGGAGCGUAGGUCGGUUGUUAAGUCAGUUGUGAAAGUUUGCGGCUCAACCGUAAAAUUGCAGUUGAAACUGGCAGUCUUGAGUACAGUAGAGGUGGGCGGAAUUCGUGGUGUAGCGGUGAAAUGCUUAGAUAUCACGAAGAACUCCGAUUGCGAAGGCAGUUCACUGGACUGCAACUGACACUGAGGCCCGAAAGUGUGGGUAUCAAACAGGAUUAGAUACCCGAGUAGUC
Molecule: ribosomal RNA, 460 nt
Filed under: uncultured bacterium
Lineage: Bacteria
Description: partial 16S ribosomal RNA
Rfam family: Bacterial small subunit ribosomal RNA
Source: RNAcentral